AGUGGCGGACGGGUGAGUAACGCGUGAGAAUCUGCCUUGGGGUCGGGGACAACCACUGGAAACGGUGGCUAAUACCGGAUACGCCUUCGGGUAAAAGAUUUAUUGCCCUAAGAGGAGCUCGCGUCUGAUUAGCUAGUUGGUGAGGUAAGAGCUCACCAAGGCAGCGAUCAGUAGCUGGUCUGAGAGGACGAUCAGCCACACUGGGACUGAGACACGGCCCAGACUCCUACGGGAGGCAGCAGUGGGGAAUUUUCCGCAAUGGGCGAAAGCCUGACGGAGCAAGACCGCGUGAGGGAGGAAGGCUCUUGGGUUGUAAACCUCUUUUCUCAGGGAAGAAGCUCUGACGGUACCUGAGGAAUCAGCCUCGGCUAACUCCGUGCCAGCAGCCGCGGUAAUACGGAGGAGGCAAGCGUUAUCCGGAAUUAUUGGGCGUAAAGCGUCCGCAGGUGGCGAUUCAAGUCUGCUGUCAAAGCACGGGGCUUAACUCCGUAAAGGCAGUGGAAACUGAAUAGCUAGAGUGCCGUAGGGGUAGAGGGAAUUCCCGGUGUAGCGGUGAAAUGCGUAGAGAUCGGGAAGAACAUCGGUGGCGAAAGCGCUCUACUGGACGGCAACUGACACUCAGGGACGAAAGCUAGAGGAGCGAAUGGGAUUAGAUACCCC
RNAcentral lists this ribosomal RNA (660 nucleotides) under uncultured bacterium. RNAcentral describes it as "bacterial SSU rRNA". It matches the Rfam family "Bacterial small subunit ribosomal RNA", at positions 94 to 788 of the family's 1533-position model. The record is from RNAcentral.